CGGCGGUCCUGGCCCAGCGCUGCGCAUUUAUSAGUUUAAAAGGAGAUUUUCAGGUUAACCUGUCUCCGCUGCACAGUAGGGUGAGCGGGACCUGGGGUGGUGUACGCGAUCCUUUCAGGGCACCUAACAUCAGAGAAAACUGGGGGAAUGGACGCUGAAAUAUCACCUCCUGUCAAGGGCGCGAUGGGUUAUGGCUAGCCUUGCUUACGGCUCGCAUACCCUAAAAACCCGUCGUUUUUAAACCAGCUCUCGCAGGACUUCACCCCUCCCCCUGACUGUUGCCACAACUGUUGGGCCUUGCUGUCAAAAUACACGGUACAGCAAGAUACAGGAUUCUGCAUUUUGUGUUAAAUUUUUGCUCAGCUAACCAAAUAAAAACUUGAAAUAGAGGGAAAGUCCUUAAAAAUUAUUCCGUUACAUUUUGCCCAUUUUGGUCUGUUGAGCCGAAUCUUCUCAGUCUUUGCUGUUGUAAAAAGUUGGCUUAAUUUCAGGACUUGUCCGCGUUCCCAGCUUGAGACAGGUUAAGACCUUCUUUUUGUGCGUGCUCCCAGAACUGCCCAGAGCUCACAGAAUUGCUGCCCUGGUGACCGAACGCUCAGAGGACUCUCCACCCAUCCCUUGAGCAUCCUUGUAAAAUGUAUUAUCUCCAGCUUAGGCUCUUUAAGAGUUGCUGGAUAUUAUAAGCAUUUAACACAAUAAAUUCUUUAGGAAAUCUAGUCCUAACUGUGGGAACCGAGCACUUGAAACCCUGUCCUUGUGUGUUUCCAGAAGUACAAUUGGACUUGACGGAUAUAAAGGUUUACACAGUAUCUAUUUACAGUAUCUUGGAACUUGGAACAAUUGAGUAACUUCCUCCAUGCCUCCCAAAAUGUCCCAUUUAAUUCUAAUCAUUUGCAGUUCUUAUAGCCUUGAGGAUCUCAAAGGAUUUUCAGCAUGACUCGGCUAAAGCUUACAAGAGAACUGCCUUGGGAGAUGUUUAGGAGAACAUGAUAUCCAAGAAGACUGAGCAGUCUUUGUGGGGACAGUGGAUUGGGCAACUGAAGAGAUGCAAUAGGAUUUCAGAGAAUCUCCAAAUCCCUGCAAAUCCUUCAGCUGAACAGGCUCAGCAUCCUUCCCUUCCUGAACAGUUUGAUCCAGGGAUCUAGGGUGGAUACAACCAUCUAAGAC
RNAcentral lists this long non-coding RNA (1167 nucleotides) under Dromaius novaehollandiae (emu). Its description in RNAcentral is "lncRNA (ENSDNVG00000006830.1)". Lineage: Eukaryota; Metazoa; Chordata; Aves; Casuariiformes; Dromaiidae. The record is from RNAcentral.